Molecule: transfer RNA, 63 nt
Filed under: Elateroidea sp. 9 KM-2017
Lineage: Eukaryota; Metazoa; Arthropoda; Insecta; Coleoptera
Description: tRNA-Phe
Source: RNAcentral
GUUUUAAUAGCUUAUAAAGAGUUUAAUGUUGAAAGCAUUAAGGAGGUUUUAAACCUUAAGAUA